UCUGUGGUAUAUGAUGACUUCAAACUUUUUUCCCCAUCAGAUCGGCAAUGCUGAUUCAAACUUCUAUUUUAGCCAGUUUGUCUGAUGCCACAGA
Anser brachyrhynchus (Pink-footed goose) is the source of this 94-nucleotide small nucleolar RNA. Lineage: Eukaryota; Metazoa; Chordata; Aves; Anseriformes; Anatidae. The record is from Ensembl.